Non-coding RNA from Podarcis lilfordi (Lilford's wall lizard), 79 nucleotides. The record is from the annotation of a GenBank genome assembly. NCBI's taxonomy places the organism in Eukaryota, Metazoa, Chordata, Lepidosauria, Squamata, Lacertidae.
UGCUGGAUAGCUCAGUUGGUUAGAGCAUGGUCCUGAUAAUGCCAAGGUUGCCGUAUGGAACAGCGGCAUAUUCCUGUAU